This is a small nuclear RNA of Sorex araneus (European shrew), 103 nucleotides long. The record is from RefSeq and is a predicted model, not a curated record. Lineage: Eukaryota; Metazoa; Chordata; Mammalia; Eulipotyphla; Soricidae.
GUUUUUUGGCAGCACAUAUAGUAAAAUUGGAACGAUACAGAGAAGAUUAGCAUGGCCCCUGUGAAAGGAUGACAUGCAACAAAUAACAAAGCACCAAAAAACA